UACAGAGGGUGCGAGCGUUAAUCGGAUUUACUGGGCGUAAAGCGUGCGUAGGCGGCUAAUUAAGUCGGAUGUGAAAUCCCCGAGCUCAACUUGGGAAUUGCAUUCGAUACUGGUUAGCUAGAGUAUUGGGAGAGGAUGGUAGAAUUCCAGGUGUAGCGGUGAAAUGCGUAGAGAUCUGGAGGAAUACCGAUGGCGAAGGCAGCCAUCUGGCCUAAUACUGACGCUGAGGUACGAAAGCAUGGGGAGCAAACAGG
This 254-nucleotide ribosomal RNA is filed under the name uncultured Acinetobacter sp. RNAcentral describes it as "partial 16S ribosomal RNA". It matches the Rfam family "Bacterial small subunit ribosomal RNA", at positions 524 to 776 of the family's 1533-position model. Lineage: Bacteria; Pseudomonadati; Pseudomonadota; Gammaproteobacteria; Moraxellales; Moraxellaceae. The record is from RNAcentral.